Camellia sinensis is the source of this 376-nucleotide non-coding RNA. The record is from RefSeq and is a predicted model, not a curated record. NCBI's taxonomy places the organism in Eukaryota, Viridiplantae, Streptophyta, Magnoliopsida, Ericales, Theaceae.
AUUUGUAGUUUUUUUGGAUAAUUCCCAGAUUCUACUACCACAGCCGCCUCUCCAUUGCCGGAAACUGCCGUACGUGCCUUGUCGAGGUCGAGAAGUCUCCCAAGCCCGUCGCUUCUUGCACCAUGCCCACUCUUCCAGUUGGUGUCUUCAGAAAGAAAGAUACCAAACUAUAUGAAACAAGCUUGAAGGAUGAGAAGCGUUUACAUCAAUGGCUUCAUUGUUAAAUUAAGCAAGUGUUUUAGUAAAUAAAUUUAAUUUUCCCAUCAUGUUUACACCUUCAAAAUAUUCUGUAAAUGACAUUUGAUGUAGAAUUUUUUGUACAGAGGACAUCUUUUUUGUAUGAUUUUGUGUUUGUAUGGAAUUAUUAUUUUGGGUU